GUUUCAGCCGCCGCGGUAAUACGGAAGGUCCGGGCGUUAUCCGGAUUUAUUGGGUUUAAAGGGAGCGUAGGCCGGAGAUUAAGCGUGUUGUGAAAUGUAGAUGCUCAACAUCUGCACUGCAGCGCGAACUGGUUUCCUUGAGUACGCACAAAGUGGGCGGAAUUCGUGGUGUAGCGGUGAAAUGCUUAGAUAUCACGAAGAACUCCGAUUGCGAAGGCAGCUCACUGGAGCGCAACUGACGCUGAAGCUCGAAAGUGCGGGUAUCGAACAGGAUUAGAUACCCUGAUAGUCCGCACGGUAAACGAUGGAUGCCCGCUGUUGGUCUGAAUAGGUCAGCGGCCAAGCGAAAGCAUUAAGCAUCCCACCUGGGGAGUACGCCGGCAACGGUGAAACUCAAAGGAAUUGACGGGGGCCCGCACAAGCGGAGGAACAUGUGGUUUAAUUCGAUGAUACGCGAGGAACCUUACCCGGGCUUGAAUUGCAGAGGAAGGAUUUGGAGACAAUGACGCCCUUCGGGGUCUCUGUGAAGGUGCUGCAUGGUUGUCGUCAGCUCGUGCCGUGAGGUGUCGGCUUAAGUGCCAUAACGAGCGCAACCCCUCUCCUUAGUUGCCAUCAGGUCAGGCUGGGCACUCUGGGGACACUGCCACCGUAAGGUGUGAGGAAGGUGGGGAUGACGUCAAAUCAGCACGGCCCUUACGUCCGGGGCUACACACGUGUUACAAUGGCAGGUACAGAGAGAUGGUGUUCUGCAAAGCGCAUCUAAUCCUUAAAGCCUGUCUCAGUUCGGACUGGGGUCUGCAACCCGACCCCACGAAGCUGGAUUCGCUAGUAAUCGCGCAUCAGCCAUGCCGCGGUGAAUACGUUCCCGGGCCUUGUACACACCGCCCGUCAAAC
Molecule: ribosomal RNA, 894 nt
Filed under: uncultured bacterium
Lineage: Bacteria
Description: bacterial SSU rRNA
Rfam family: Bacterial small subunit ribosomal RNA
Source: RNAcentral